GCUGUAGCGCGGUGGUCCCACCUGACCCCAUGCCGAACUCAGAAGUGAAACGCCGUAGCGCCGAUGGUAGUGUGGGGUCUCCCCAUGCGAGAGUAGGGAACUGCCAGAC
RNAcentral lists this ribosomal RNA (109 nucleotides) under Citrobacter freundii. The record is from RNAcentral. Lineage: Bacteria; Pseudomonadati; Pseudomonadota; Gammaproteobacteria; Enterobacterales; Enterobacteriaceae. RNAcentral also lists the same sequence under 2 other names.